Molecule: long non-coding RNA, 2015 nt
Filed under: Lactuca sativa (garden lettuce)
Lineage: Eukaryota; Viridiplantae; Streptophyta; Magnoliopsida; Asterales; Asteraceae
Description: long non-coding RNA (LSAT_LNC006806)
Source: RNAcentral
UCCAUGAUGCUCUACAAUUGAAAGUGGAUAUUCGUGUAUGAUAAUUAUUUCCGUCAAAUUUUUUCUUGAUGCAUCAGCAUUAAAUGUAUAGUUUCAAACAUGAGUUGUAGUACCAUCCAUUUUCUUUUUUUCUUGCACCAAGAUAGAUUGACGAAUAUCUGAAAAUGGGUUGUGUAAACAACGUUUAAAAUGGACAAAUAAAUGUUUUGUACCUUUCUUGUUAUCCGCACCCAAUACUUUCUUGCAAUGAAUGCAUCUUGCUUUAACUUCACCAUUCACUUUAAAUCUUUUAAAACGGGGCAAUGCUGGUAAACAUGAUGCCCUUUUUGAACCGACCGCUUCGUCUUCGUCUUCACCGUAAGACCCUUUGAUCCAUUUAUUUCUUCGUGAAAAGUAACGAAGAGGAUUUCCGACUGUCCCUUUCUGUCUAAAACGUUAUAAAAUCAGGUUAGUUUUCCUGAUGAUGUAUACCCAAGAAGUGAAAAUGUAGGAUGGCACACAAUCAUUUUUGUAAAAAUGCUAACAUUUCAUAGUUUUCAGGAAUGGAUUAUUUUUUAUGACUAGAGCAAAACCAGUUUUGUUAAAAUCUAUUCUUAAAAAAAUACAUUAUCUACUUUGUUGUAAAUUGAAAACAACCACUAUUUAUUCCUAACAGAAAUCACAUAAGACAUUUAUGAUUUAUGUAUUUACUAAUUUACUAUAGAAAACUUGAGGGACUUGUUAUAUUUUACGGAAGUUGGAGGGUCUAUCUUGAAAUAUAUUUCUUUCCUAUUUUGACGAGUGACUGACCUGAAAAAUCACAAUCAUGUUUGGCUUCGAGUCUUUUGCUUAACUCACACAACACACAACAAGAAGAAAUCAUCAUCACCGAUUCAUCUGAACAGUGGAAUCAAGCAAUCAGACUCAAUCGCUUAAAGAAAUGGCUCGAGCUGGAGGAAUAACGAAUGCAGUAAACGUAGAGAUAGCGGUACAAGAUGCUUGACAGAAUCGUAAUUCUUGGGUUAUUUCACGAUUUUUGUUACGAAAUCAACACUGCUUUCUAAUCACAGAAACUGUAUAUGUUUAUAUUCAGCUUCUAGGGCUUGAAUACAAUUAGGCUUUUUUCAAUGUGGACAAUUGAAAAGUUGAACUCUGAAAUUGGUUGGAGCCCUAAUUGAAAGGGACUCUCCAAAAAUAGGCGUAUGCCACUUAAUGCAGCGAACACACGGUAUUCUUUAGUAAAAGGCGAAAGAAUAGUUCGCUUUGUGUUCACUGCGUAGCUGCUUGUCAUCUUAGUUACCAGCUGCUUGGUUUAUGUAAUGAGUUUGAUACCUUCUGUUUCAUUCAAGUAGCCGAUGUGGGAUGAGCCCCAUACUUGCAUCCCUCUGUAAUGUUUCAAACUCUUCUCCCACAUUUCUCUUCUUUUUCCCCUUCACUUACUUCCAUUUGGUUUUUGAUCUGUUUUUUAUGAGGUGCUCACUGUUCAUGGAUAUGGGUUUUGAUAGAAAUUACUAGAUAUUAUAACUGGAAUUAGAUAUUUUGUGAAAGAUUAUUUUUAGUAGACCAAAAAAAGAACAUUUUCGUGAAGAAAAACAGCAAUCUUAGGAAGUUAGAAUUUCAUAUUUUGGUAAAUGAAAUGGAUAAAUAGGUAAAAGUUCGUUUUACUUUUGGACAAAGGUAUUGUGAGAAUGGAUAAUGACUUAAACUAAGUCCUUUUAUUCAGCUCACUUAUCAAGGAGUCGAAUGGUUUUGAAUUUAGACUUCACACAUUGUUUUUCUUCAAACAGGUUUUCAGAUUUCAACAUUUCAAAACAAUAUGAUUCAUGACCUUCUUGACUUUCUUUCAAACAACAUGAGUUACUUUAUGAUUGUUACAUAAGAACUAUUGAAAACUUGAACUUUACAUAUUGAUUGGAGCCCUUCAAUAAGAAGGGACUCUCCAAAAAUAGGCGUAUGCCACUAUAUAUGGCAAGAACACGGUAUUCUUUAGUAAAAGGCGAAAGAAUAGUGCGCUUUGUUCUUACCACAUGGCUGCG